This 505-nucleotide ribosomal RNA is filed under the name uncultured bacterium. RNAcentral describes it as "partial 16S ribosomal RNA". It matches the Rfam family "Bacterial small subunit ribosomal RNA", at positions 28 to 507 of the family's 1533-position model. The record is from RNAcentral.
GACGAACGCUGGCGGCGUGCCUAAUACAUGCAAGUAGAACGCACAGUUUAUACCGUAGCUUGCUACACCAUAGACUGUGAGUUGCGAACGGGUGAGUAACGCGUAGGUAACCUGCCUGGUAGCGGGGGAUAACUAUUGGAAACGAUAGCUAAUACCGCAUCAUAUUAAUUAUUGCAUGAUAAUUAAUUGAAAGGUGCAAUUGCACCACUACCAGAUGGACCUGCGUUGUAUUAGCUAGUAGGUGAGGUAACGGCUCACCUAGGCGACGAUACAUAGCCGACCUGGGAGGGUGAUCGGCCACACUGGGACUGAGACACGGCCCAGACUCCUACGGGAGGCAGCAGUAGGGAAUCUUCGGCAAUGGACGAAAGUCUGACCGAGCAACGCCGCGUGAGUGAAGAAGGUUUUCGGAUCGUAAAGCUCUGUUGUAAGAGAAGAACGGGUGUGAGAGUGGAAAGUUCACACUGUGACGGUAUCUUCCCAGAAAGGGACGGCUAACUACGUG